Molecule: ribosomal RNA, 586 nt
Filed under: Salmonella enterica subsp. enterica serovar Indiana
Lineage: Bacteria; Pseudomonadati; Pseudomonadota; Gammaproteobacteria; Enterobacterales; Enterobacteriaceae
Description: partial 23S ribosomal RNA
Rfam family: Bacterial large subunit ribosomal RNA
Source: RNAcentral
GGACAGUGUCUGGUGGGUAGUUUGACUGGGGCGGUCUCCUCCUAAAGAGUAACGGAGGAGCACGAAGGUUGGCUAAUCCUGGUCGGACAUCAGGAGGUUAGUGCAAUGGCAUAAGCCAGCUUGACUGCGAGCGUGACGGCGCGAGCAGGUGCGAAAGCAGGUCAUAGUGAUCCGGUGGUUCUGAAUGGAAGGGCCAUCGCUCAACGGAUAAAAGGUACUCCGGGGAUAACAGGCUGAUACCGCCCAAGAGUUCAUAUCGACGGCGGUGUUUGGCACCUCGAUGUCGGCUCAUCACAUCCUGGGGCUGAAGUAGGUCCCAAGGGUAUGGCUGUUCGCCAUUUAAAGUGGUACGCGAGCUGGGUUUAGAACGUCGUGAGACAGUUCGGUCCCUAUCUGCCGUGGGCGCUGGAGAACUGAGGGGGGCUGCUCCUAGUACGAGAGGACCGGAGUGGACGCAUCACUGGUGUUCGGGUUGUCAUGCCAAUGGCACUGCCCGGUAGCUAAAUGCGGAAGAGAUAAGUGCUGAAAGCAUCUAAGCACGAAACUUGCCCCGAGAUGAGUUCUCCCUGAGACUUUAGGUCUCCUG